This is a long non-coding RNA of Perognathus longimembris pacificus (Pacific pocket mouse), 767 nucleotides long. RefSeq lists it as uncharacterized. The transcript is spliced from 4 exons. NCBI's taxonomy places the organism in Eukaryota, Metazoa, Chordata, Mammalia, Rodentia, Heteromyidae. The record is from RefSeq and is a predicted model, not a curated record.
CUGGGACCCUCAGAUCACCACCUUCUGCAAGGCUAGGAUUUACCAGACUCUCAGCUUGUAAUGUGAAUGAAGAAAGCAUAUUAUGCCUACUCUGCAAUUAAGAAACCUAGAGACUGGAGAUGGUAAGGAAGAUGAAAGGCUAGCAGGCUAAUACUAUCAAGUCAAAAUGAAAAAGCUCUGGCAACUCUUCAAGUGACACGAGGGAGAAAAGCGUGUAGCAUGACAAUGGUUCCUUCUGGCACCUGGCCAUCUUGGUUUUUUUAGCAAGAUCAACUCAAGAUCAGAUCUGCUCAGGUCUGCUUGUAACCUGCCCCUUGGAUGAGAAAUAAUCAGAAAACUGAAAGGCGUUUUAAAGAUAAAUGGUAAAACUGAACUGGGAAUCCGUCUGGCCCGCUGCCUGCUCUAAUGAAUAACACCACUUUGGUUGCUGCAAUGUAAGCAAAAAGUUCUCUCCCGGCCUCUUUCGUCCGUCAUGAAUCUACAAGACAGCCGACAUAAUAUCUGGGCGACAACGGGCGCGCUAACAGUGCAGCGACUUCCAUUUUCUUUGCUUUCUAUUGAUUUUCACUUAAUAACUGGCGAAAUACUAAACGUCCGCCCUGAGUACCUAAUAAAUCCUGGCUGAGCUUUUUAUUGAGGAGAAUUUAAUAAAAACAACCAUUGUGGCUGAGGGAUUUUUCUUCUGGACAGAACAUAGGGUAGGGGACAGAGAGGUUGGGGCAAGAGAAAGCCAUCUGGGUCUUUCUUUCCUUUCUUUCCUGUCUUUC